AGAGUUUGAUCAUGGCUCAGAUUGAACGCUGGCGGCAUGGCUAAGACAUGCAAGUCGAACGCGAAAGUACCUUCGGGUGCGAGUAGAGUGGCGAAAGGGCGAGGAAUACGUUCCUACGUACCCCGAGGUCAGGGAUAGCCCAUGGAAACAUGGAUUAAUACCUGAUGUGGUCUCCGGAUCAAAGAUUUAUCGCCUUGGGAGCGGGGAACGUCCUAUCAGGUUGUUGGUGAGGUAACGGCUCACCAAGCCGAAGACGGGUAGCGGGUGUGAGAGCAUGACCCGCCGCAUCGGGACUGAGACACUGCCCGGACUCCUACGGGAGGCUGCAGUAACGAAUAUUCCGCAAUGCGCGAAAGCGUGACGGAGCAAUGCCGCGUGCAGGAUGAAGCCCCUCGGGGUGUAAACUGCUGUCAGGGUUUAGGAAGCAAGUGACCAAACCCAAAGGAAGGGCCGGCUAACUUCGUGCCAGCAGCCGCGGUAAUACGAAGGGCCCGAGCGUUAUUCGGAAUCACUGGGCUUAAAGCGUACGCAGGCUGGUAUGCAGGCAUCUUGUGAAAUCCCUCCGCUCAACGGAGGAACUGCAGGGUGAACCGCAUACCUUGAGACAGGUAGGGGUUGUCGGAACGCUA
This 629-nucleotide ribosomal RNA is filed under the name uncultured Planctomycetota bacterium. RNAcentral describes it as "bacterial SSU rRNA". It matches the Rfam family "Bacterial small subunit ribosomal RNA", at positions 8 to 671 of the family's 1533-position model. Lineage: Bacteria; Pseudomonadati; Planctomycetota. The record is from RNAcentral.